UUAAGCGCGCGACCUAUACCC
RNAcentral lists this non-coding RNA (21 nucleotides) under Arabidopsis thaliana (thale cress). Lineage: Eukaryota; Viridiplantae; Streptophyta; Magnoliopsida; Brassicales; Brassicaceae. The record is from RNAcentral.